ACUACGUGCCAGCAGCCGCGGUAAUACGUAGGGUGCGAGCGUUGUCCGGAAUUACUGGGCGUAAAGAGCUCGUAGGUGGUUUGUCGCGUUGUUCGUGAAAUCUCACGGCUUAACUGUGAGCGUGCGGGCGAUACGGGCAGACUAGAGUACUGCAGGGGAGACUGGAAUUCCUGGUGUAGCGGUGGAAUGCGCAGAUAUCAGGAGGAACACCGGUGGCGAAGGCGGGUCUCUGGG
RNAcentral lists this ribosomal RNA (234 nucleotides) under Mycobacterium tuberculosis. RNAcentral's name for it is "partial 16S ribosomal RNA". It matches the Rfam family "Bacterial small subunit ribosomal RNA", at positions 500 to 733 of the family's 1533-position model. The record is from RNAcentral. Lineage: Bacteria; Bacillati; Actinomycetota; Actinomycetes; Mycobacteriales; Mycobacteriaceae.